Molecule: ribosomal RNA, 730 nt
Filed under: uncultured bacterium
Lineage: Bacteria
Description: bacterial SSU rRNA
Rfam family: Bacterial small subunit ribosomal RNA
Source: RNAcentral
AACAGGAUUAGAUACCCUGGUAGUCCACGCCGUAAACGAUGUCGACUUGGAGGUUGUUCCCUUGAGGAGUGGCUUCCGGAGCUAACGCGUUAAGUCGACCGCCUGGGGAGUACGGCCGCAAGGUUAAAACUCAAAUGAAUUGACGGGGGCCCGCACAAGCGGUGGAGCAUGUGGUUUAAUUCGAUGCAACGCGAAGAACCUUACCUACUCUUGACAUCCAGAGAACUUAGCAGAGAUGCUUUGGUGCCUUCGGGAACUCUGAGACAGGUGCUGCAUGGCUGUCGUCAGCUCGUGUUGUGAAAUGUUGGGUUAAGUCCCGCAACGAGCGCAACCCUUAUCCUUUGUUGCCAGCGGUUCGGCCGGGAACUCAAAGGAGACUGCCAGUGAUAAACUGGAGGAAGGUGGGGAUGACGUCAAGUCAUCAUGGCCCUUACGAGUAGGGCUACACACGUGCUACAAUGGCGCAUACAAAGAGAAGCGGCCUCGCGAGAGCAAGCGGACCUCAUAAAGUGCGUCGUAGUCCGGAUCGGAGUCUGCAACUCGACUCCGUGAAGUCGGAAUCGCUAGUAAUCGUAGAUCAGAAUGCUACGGUGAAUACGUUCCCGGGCCUUGUACACACCGCCCGUCACACCAUGGGAGUGGGUUGCAAAAGAAGUAGGUAGCUUAACCUUCGGGAGGGCGCUUACCACUUUGUGAUUCAUGACUGGGGUGAAGUCGUAACAAGGUAACC